AUGCCGCCGCCCCGAAGAACGCCUUGGAGGAAUUUCUUGGGCGACCUGCGGAGGUGGAUCGACCUCUUGGGAUUCCGGGGGCUGAUCGACGUCGUCGCCAGGCGUCCAGGCCAGGCCAUCUACAAGGUGAAGGAGGCACCACGGGGGCUCCCGGAGCUGACCGAUGUCGCCCGGCCCCAGGGAGGUUCCGGCCCCGUGAUCCUCAUCACCCGCGCUACGCUGAUUGCCUGUGCGGCGGCGCCGUCGCGUUCCGCCGCUGGCAACCGGCCGCAGCAGCUGCCACCUCCUAAGUGGUCCCUCAAGGAGGAGAGCUACGGCGAUGCCCUCACGGAGAUUUUCGAGGUAUCUGCCAACUUCCCUCUCCGCGGCCAAGUACUGGCCUGGGAUGGCAUUCGUACCCAGAUCAUCUGCCAGAGCAAAAACGUGAAGGAGUUCUAUUCACGAAGAGCAAAAUGGGCAAGAGACAAUCCCGGAGCUAAACUCGUCGAUUUCAAGAUGACGCUGCCUCCCACCGGACCAUCUAGGUACAUGUGUGCCUUAUCUGGCGCUUACUUUGAAGUGAAGAUCGACGCAACCACGAAGAAAGCCGCAGAGGAGCACGCCCGGGUGGUGGACUGGUGCUACACGCCCUUGUCCAACAGAUGCAACACCGUCUCCAUCGAAACCAGCAUGGGCGUCGUGGACAUCCUCUGCGCGAUGAUGAACGAAGCCGUGGAGGUCACGAUGUGUGUCGGUCUGUGCAUACCCACGGACCUAUGCGUGGGUCGACUCUACGGCCGCAUCACCGCACGCACCGACAUAUAUGAACCCGAGAUCACCGUGUUCACCAGAGGCGUUAAGUCGGCUGUAGACCCUCUUCGGCGUGUUGCCCAUCCACUGCCAGGCUUUCUGUCUGCUGACUCAUACCGCCAUGUAACCCUUCCAUUGGCGCGGACUGUCCUCACGGUGCCGAUUCAAGCGUCACGCAUAGAGCUCAAGGGGGAGCUGAUGAUAGAGGGAUCUAACACGCUGAGUGUUAACCAUUCUAUCCAUCUCGAUGCUAAGAAUAUCUGGAGCCCGUGGGUCAAGCACGGAAACUGCUAUGCUAGAGUGGCCCUAACCAUUAGGUUGGAAGUGGAACGCUAG
RNAcentral lists this ribosomal RNA (1125 nucleotides) under Triticum aestivum (bread wheat). RNAcentral describes it as "partial small subunit ribosomal RNA". The record is from RNAcentral. Lineage: Eukaryota; Viridiplantae; Streptophyta; Magnoliopsida; Poales; Poaceae.